Molecule: transfer RNA, 71 nt
Filed under: Nanobdellota archaeon
Lineage: Archaea; Nanobdellati; Nanobdellota
Description: tRNA-Gly
Rfam family: tRNA
About the family: Transfer RNA (tRNA) molecules are approximately 80 nucleotides in length. Their secondary structure includes four short double-helical elements and three loops (D, anti-codon, and T loops). Further hydrogen bonds mediate the characteristic L-shaped molecular structure. tRNAs have two regions of fundamental functional importance: the anti-codon, which is responsible for specific mRNA codon recognition, and the 3' end, to which the tRNAs corresponding amino acid is attached (by aminoacyl-tRNA synthetases). tRNAs cope with the degeneracy of the genetic code in two manners: having more than one tRNA (with a specific anti-codon) for a particular amino acid; and 'wobble' base-pairing, i.e. permitting non-standard base-pairing at the 3rd anti-codon position.
Source: RNAcentral
GCGGUCAUAGUUAAACGGCAUAAUUCUUGCUUCCCAAGCAAGUGUUCGGGGUUCAAUUCCCCGUGGCCGCA